This 460-nucleotide ribosomal RNA is filed under the name uncultured bacterium. Its description in RNAcentral is "partial 16S ribosomal RNA". It matches the Rfam family "Bacterial small subunit ribosomal RNA", at positions 338 to 795 of the family's 1533-position model. The record is from RNAcentral.
CCUACGGGAGGCUGCAGUGAGGAAUAUUGGUCAAUGGACGAGAGUCUGAACCAGCCAAGUAGCGUGAAGGAUGACUGCCCUAUGGGUUGUAAACUUCUUUUAUAUGGGAAUAAAACGUUCCACGUGUGGGAUUUUGUAUGUACCAUAUGAAUAAGGAUCGGCUAACUCCGUGCCAGCAGCCGCGGUAAUACGGAGGAUCCGAGCGUUAUCCGGAUUUAUUGGGUUUAAAGGGAGCGUAGGUGGAUUGUUAAGUCAGUUGUGAAAGUUUGCGGCUCAACCGUAAAAUUGCAGUUGAAGCUGGCAGUCUUGAGUACAGUAGAGGUGGGCGGAAUUCGUGGUGUAGCGGUGAAAUGCUUAGAUAUCACGAAGAACUCCGAUUGCGAAGGCAGUUCACUGGACUGCAACUGACACUGAGGCUCGAAAGUGUGGGUAUCAAACAGGAUUAGAUACCCGUGUAGUC